GACGGGGGGGGCAAGUGUUCUUCGGAAUGACUGGGCGUAAAGGGCACGUAGGCGGUGAAUCGGGUUGAAAGUGAAAGUCGCCAAAAAGUGGCGGAAUGCUCUCGAAACCAAUUCACUUGAGUGAGACAGAGGAGAGUGGAAUUUCGUGUGUAGGGGUGAAAUCCGUAAAUAUACGAAGGAACGCCAAAAGCGAAGGCAGCUCUCUGGGUCCCUAUCGACGCUGGGGUGCGAAAGCAUGGGGAGCGAACAGG
Molecule: ribosomal RNA, 251 nt
Filed under: uncultured bacterium
Lineage: Bacteria
Description: partial 16S ribosomal RNA
Rfam family: Bacterial small subunit ribosomal RNA
Source: RNAcentral